CAAAGGCUCUUUUAAGAGCCACAUAACGAGAGCGUCUUUGGCUUUUGGCACCUACAUACAACCCAAAGGCUCUUUUCAGAGCCACAUCGCCCAGCGUCCUUGGCUUUCAACUACAUACACCCCAAAAGCUCUUUUCAGAGCUACUCGCCCACCAUCACCCAGCAUUGUAAGUACGUUUCAACUGUCAGACAACUUCUAAUUAUUUUGGUGUAUAUCAAAUUAAAGCUACAUUCUGCAACAAGUCUGAAUCAUCGUUGACUUACAGACAUGAAACGGGUUGUUCUUCUAAAAUACAAUAUAGAAUCCUGCAUUUAUGAUUGGCCGUGCUCAUUUAAAGGCAGGCUUACACGGUGCGAUUUUUGCGGUCUUACAAGCUCACAGGCGAUUAUUUUU
This is a long non-coding RNA of Cyprinus carpio (common carp), 393 nucleotides long. RefSeq lists it as uncharacterized. The transcript has 3 exons. The record is from RefSeq and is a predicted model, not a curated record. Lineage: Eukaryota; Metazoa; Chordata; Actinopteri; Cypriniformes; Cyprinidae.